Felis catus (domestic cat) is the source of this 85-nucleotide transfer RNA. It matches the Rfam family "tRNA". From Rfam's summary of the family: Transfer RNA (tRNA) molecules are approximately 80 nucleotides in length. Their secondary structure includes four short double-helical elements and three loops (D, anti-codon, and T loops). Further hydrogen bonds mediate the characteristic L-shaped molecular structure. tRNAs have two regions of fundamental functional importance: the anti-codon, which is responsible for specific mRNA codon recognition, and the 3' end, to which the tRNAs corresponding amino acid is attached (by aminoacyl-tRNA synthetases). tRNAs cope with the degeneracy of the genetic code in two manners: having more than one tRNA (with a specific anti-codon) for a particular amino acid; and 'wobble' base-pairing, i.e. permitting non-standard base-pairing at the 3rd anti-codon position. NCBI's taxonomy places the organism in Eukaryota, Metazoa, Chordata, Mammalia, Carnivora, Felidae. The record is from Rfam.
GCCUGGGUGGCUCAGUUGGUUGAGCAUCCGACUUCGGCUCAGGUCAUGAUCUCACAGUGUGUGAGUUUGAGCCCCACAUCGGGCU